AGGAGAAGGUGCUCACACAAACUUGGGCUACCAGUGGCACUUGUUAGUUCUUCAGCUAAAUUGAUAUGCAGUCAAUUAAGUUCCACAUUUGAAAUUGCAUCAGAAGUACGGAAAGGAAAAGCUGCCAACUGCAGGAUGAAGCUCAAGGAGAUGGAAGAGUCACAUGACAGAGUAACCCUGGUCCUGAAUGACCACAUAGAGCCAAGACAGAGGGAGAAAUCUUUUGUUAUAUGAAACCACUGAAAUUUUUAACUAAUGUGAGCAGGGACACUGUUGUAUCUCCCACAUACUAGCAUUCAACUGAAAACCACAAUAAUAAUAAAGCCC
Molecule: long non-coding RNA, 327 nt
Filed under: Mustela putorius furo (domestic ferret)
Lineage: Eukaryota; Metazoa; Chordata; Mammalia; Carnivora; Mustelidae
Description: lncRNA (ENSMPUG00000025631.1)
Source: RNAcentral